RNAcentral lists this transfer RNA (74 nucleotides) under compost metagenome. RNAcentral describes it as "tRNA-Ile". The record is from RNAcentral.
CCUGUGGUAGCUCAGUCGGCAGAGCGCGCUCUUGAUAAGGGCGAGGUCGGUGGUUCGAGGCCACCCCGCAGGAC